AAAAAAUUAGUUAAAUUAUAACAUUAGUUCGUCAUACUAAAAUUAUUAAAAAAUUAAUAUUUUUUA
RNAcentral lists this transfer RNA (66 nucleotides) under Ochthebius pilosus. RNAcentral's name for it is "tRNA-Asp". Lineage: Eukaryota; Metazoa; Arthropoda; Insecta; Coleoptera; Hydraenidae. The record is from RNAcentral.